UUAUGGUAAUAUGGGACAACAAUUGAGUC
This 29-nucleotide small RNA is filed under the name Bombyx mori (domestic silkworm). RNAcentral's name for it is "ovarian small RNA-9465". Lineage: Eukaryota; Metazoa; Arthropoda; Insecta; Lepidoptera; Bombycidae. The record is from RNAcentral.